ACGGUAACAGGUCUUCGGACGCUGACGAGUGGCGAACGGGUGAGUAAUACAUCGGAACGUGCCCAGUCGUGGGGGAUAACUACUCGAAAGAGUAGCUAAUACCGCAUACGAUCUGAGGAUGAAAGCGGGGGACCUUCGGGCCUCGCGCGAUUGGAGCGGCCGAUGGCAGAUUAGGUAGUUGGUGGGAUAAAAGCUUACCAAGCCGACGAUCUGUAGCUGGUCUGAGAGGACGACCAGCCACACUGGGACUGAGACACGGCCCAGACUCCUACGGGAGGCAGCAGUGGGGAAUUUUGGACAAUGGGCGAAAGCCUGAUCCAGCAAUGCCGCGUGCAGGAUGAAGGCCUUCGGGUUGUAAACUGCUUUUGUACGGAACGAAAAAGCUUCUCCUAAUACGAGAGGCCCAUGACGGUACCGUAAGAAUAAGCACCGGCUAACUACGUGCCAGCAGCCGCGGUAAUACGUAGGGUGCGAGCGUUAAUCGGAAUUACUGGGCGUAAAGCGUGCGCAGGCGGUUAUGUAAGACAGAUGUGAAAUCCCCGGGCUCAACCUGGGAACUGCAUUUGUGACUGCAUGGCUAGAGUACGGUAGAGGGGGAUGGAAUUCCGCGUGUAGCAGUGAAAUGCGUAGAUAUGCGGAG
This 640-nucleotide ribosomal RNA is filed under the name uncultured Delftia sp. Its description in RNAcentral is "bacterial SSU rRNA". It matches the Rfam family "Bacterial small subunit ribosomal RNA", at positions 66 to 703 of the family's 1533-position model. The record is from RNAcentral. Lineage: Bacteria; Pseudomonadati; Pseudomonadota; Betaproteobacteria; Burkholderiales; Comamonadaceae.